AGGGAGUAUAAGAUGGUUUCUUUCUUCAAGUUGGUAGGCCGGUGCAGAACCCGGCGCUUUCCAGUAAGACGGAAAGACCCCGAGAGCUUGAAUUUAGUUUUUUAUCUGGGAAAGAGGCAUAUUUUUUAUAUGUUUUGUGAGCCUGAUUUGGGAUGAAGGUGUAAGUUACCUCGGGGAUAACUAGGUAAUAGGCAAUGAGAGAAGCUAUCGAUUUGUUUGUUUGCCAUCUCGAUGUUGAUUCGGGGUUUAGCGUAGAGGUGGAGAGGCUUCUAAUGUUGUGGUCUGUUCGACCUUAGAUCCCCAUGAGCUGAG
Molecule: ribosomal RNA, 312 nt
Filed under: Exorchis oviformis
Lineage: Eukaryota; Metazoa; Platyhelminthes; Trematoda; Opisthorchiida; Cryptogonimidae
Description: partial large subunit ribosomal RNA
Rfam family: Bacterial large subunit ribosomal RNA (bases 38-312)
Source: RNAcentral